RNAcentral lists this long non-coding RNA (1411 nucleotides) under Mus musculus (house mouse). Its description in RNAcentral is "long non-coding RNA chr4:48542176-48543587". The record is from RNAcentral. Lineage: Eukaryota; Metazoa; Chordata; Mammalia; Rodentia; Muridae.
GUUUUGUUUCAAACUAGGACUCAGAAGAGAAUUUGGGGGUACACAGAGAUGCCCAGUGGAAAGAGCAAGUGCUCUGGGGGAGAUAGACAGCUGGGACCUCAUCUAUUUCCUGACUAUCACUCACCUUAUGAUUAUAGUUUGUGCAUGUGAGAGAAUAUGACUUUUUUUUCCCCCUCAAGUAGUUGGCAGGGAACUCAAACAGCACUUCACUGUAUUUCCUGGCUAUAGGACAUUCAUUCAUUCAUUCAUUCAUUAAAAAAAAAAAGGUCUCCAGAGUGCCAGUCCAUUGCUGAGUCAUGCUACAUGCCGAGAUGCAGAGAUGAGUCAGAAAUUAUAUCUUUCCUUAGGAGUUUCCCAUUUCAGAGAGGGAGGUGGACACAAAGGGUAAAUUACAGAGCGUGUGGGAAGUGCUACUGGUUGACGUUUGUGAUGGACAGUGUGCUUGCAGAAGAGUGGGUCACCUCCUUCCCUAGAGACUCGGGGCCAGUUGGAGCCCCAUGGCAGAGAUUCUGAGUGUUGUGUGACCUCCUGCCUUUCAUCUAUCCAUGCUGCUGAGUCUCAGCCGUGACAGUCUCUCUCUUUAAAAAAUGCACUUGCAGUGUACAUAGAACUUGUAAGCUACUUGCUCCGUGGAGUCCAGAGAAUGUUGAACAGUAGUUGAAUGAGUGAAUUAUUAAGUAGGUAGCUAGCAGAAGUAAGAGAAUAAAUAGUGAGCGGCAGACGGAGAAAAGCCAGAGCUGGGUAGCAAAACAUCAAGUUGCGCCCUCUGCAUCCAGCAGAGAUGACUGGAGGUAGAGCGGUUGAUAGAACAACCACAAGACUAGAUCAACCCGAGGGCUUACAGGUAUGCAGCUGAAAUCCGCCGGGGAAGCCCCAUUGAGGUAGUCAGUUGGAAUUCCCAAUCAUGGGUCCCAGGUAGCUUGGGCUUGUCUCCUCAGGUCAAAGAACAAAUAGCAACAGAUAGAGAAAGAACAUAGUCAAAUUGGGAGUUCCCAACUGGCAGGAUCCUAGGCCUGAGGACCCUCCCCAUCCACUCCAUGGAGGAGCUUCAAGUUCAGUUAAGCUGGUUGCAAACAGUCUACCUCCUAACUGUCCUCAAGGACAAAAUGUGCAUAACGCCCACUGUGGCUUACUGUUUUGCUUAUUACAGAGUUAAGGAGUCAGCCUUCCCCAGGAGCAGGAGUCUUGGAGGAGACAAUGGAAGGCCUCCCCAUGCCCCAGAGUCAGCUUUCACAGGCUUAAGCAGCACAGGACAGUUAUAAUACAUUAUAACCAGUAUAAUAUAUGCCACACUGUCUAAACUCAUUUUGGAAGAAGAGCUGUUACAUAUAAACAAGAGUGUAAGCAUUAGGCAGGCUUUAGAACAGUUACAUGGGAGCUGAGCAGUUACACAGGAACUGGGUCUGUUAGG